This 490-nucleotide ribosomal RNA is filed under the name uncultured bacterium. Its description in RNAcentral is "partial 16S ribosomal RNA". It matches the Rfam family "Bacterial small subunit ribosomal RNA", at positions 30 to 507 of the family's 1533-position model. The record is from RNAcentral.
AUUGAACGCUGGCGGCAGGCUUAACACAUGCAAGUCGAGCGGUAGCACAAGAGAGCUUGCUCUCUGGGUGACGAGCGGCGGACGGGUGAGUAAUGUCUGGGAAACUGCCUGAUGGAGGGGGAUAACUACUGGAAACGGUAGCUAAUACCGCAUAACGUCGCAAGACCAAAGAGGGGGACCUUCGGGCCUCUUGCCAUCAGAUGUGCCCAGAUGGGAUUAGCUAGUAGGUGGGGUAAUGGCUCACCUAGGCGACGAUCCCUAGCUGGUCUGAGAGGAUGACCAGCCACACUGGAACUGAGACACGGUCCAGACUCCUACGGGAGGCAGCAGUGGGGAAUAUUGCACAAUGGGCGCAAGCCUGAUGCAGCCAUGCCGCGUGUGUGAAGAAGGCCUUCGGGUUGUAAAGCACUUUCAGCGAGGAGGAAGGUGGUGAACUUAAUACGUUCAUCAAUUGACGGUACUCGCAGAAGAAGCACCGGCUAACUCCGUG